AGAAGUUUUCUAUCCCAAAACGUGGAGAGGCGUGGGUCUUAAAGUCACUAGGAAAAAAAUGGAAAGAUUACAAGGGCAGUUUGAAGGGUGAGUAUGCGCAAAAAUAUAAGACUAAAGAUGCUUUACUAAAAAAUAGACCAAGUCGUAUACCGAGGGAUCAAUGGAGUGGUCUUGUCUCGUAUUGGCUUUCCGAUAAAGCUAAGGUAGCAACCUUGAAACGCUUUACUAAAAAAUAGACCAAGUCGUAUACUGAUGGAACAAUGGAGUGGUCUUGUAUCGUAUUGGCUUUCCGAUAAAGCUAAGGUAUCAACCUUGAAAAUUCUCCUAGUCUACUCAUUUUCAUAGCGUUUUGACUUGUAUCGUAUUGGCUUUCCGAUAAAGCUAAGGUAUCAACCUUGAAAAUUCUCCUAGUCUACUCAUUUUCAUUGCGUUUUGAUUUUAGGUAUGCUCAAUUUUUGUUUAAAUUUUAUAAGAUAUCAUUUUAAUAUAUCAAUGACAAAGACGUACCCUAGCAAAUAGAAACAAUAAGGCCAAGCAACGAUGCUUCACACAGGAGGAUCAAAAAGUAUUGCCACCUUGAUGAAUGAGCAGGUAAACCUGUGAAUACUACAAACUAAAAUAUUUUAAUCUUUUUUUUGUCAUGCAAACAUAUAUAAUAUUAUUUUUAUUGUAUUAGGCUGUAAACGGGAUAGAGAAUACACGAGCAAAAAUUUUCCUAUUAACUCAUAAAAAACGUUAGGAUGGUAGGCCACUGGAUGAUGAUUCUGUCAAGGCAAUCGUAAGAUUUAUUCUUUCUUAAUUUUUGGGUUUCAUGACUCUGUCAAACAAUGAGCAA
This 835-nucleotide long non-coding RNA is filed under the name Nicotiana benthamiana. Its description in RNAcentral is "long non-coding RNA (NBEN_LNC038585)". The record is from RNAcentral. Lineage: Eukaryota; Viridiplantae; Streptophyta; Magnoliopsida; Solanales; Solanaceae.